Molecule: non-coding RNA, 72 nt
Organism: Phrynosoma platyrhinos (Desert horned lizard)
Lineage: Eukaryota; Metazoa; Chordata; Lepidosauria; Squamata; Phrynosomatidae
Source: the annotation of a GenBank genome assembly
GCCGAUGUGGCACAGUGGUUUGAGUGUUGGGCCACAACUCUGGAGACCAGGGUUCAAUUCCCAGCUCAGCCA